GAUGAACGCUGGCGGCGUGCCUAAUACAUGCAAGUCGAACGAACAGAUGCUGAGCUUGCUCCUCUGACGUUAGCGGCGGACGGGUGUGUAACACGUGGAUAACCUACCUAUAUUACUGGUAUCACUUCGGAAAACCGGCGCUAAUCCCGGAUAAUCUCUUGCACCGCGUGGUUCAAUAGUGAAAUACGGUUUUUCUGUCUCUUAUCGCUGCAUCCCCGCCGCAUUAGCUAGUUGGUAAGGUAACGGCUUACCAAGGCAACGAUGCGUAACCGACCUGCGAGGGUGAUCGGCCACACUGGAACGGAGACACGGUCCAGACUCCUAAGGGAGGCAGCAGUAGGGAAUGGGCCGCAAUGGGCGAAAGCAUGACGGAGUAACGCCGCGUGAGUGAUGAAGGUCUUCGGAUCGUAAAACUCGGUCACGAGGGAAGAACAGAUGUGGAAGUAACUAUGCACGGAGUGACGGUAACGAAUCAGAAAGCCACGGCUAACUACGUG
Molecule: ribosomal RNA, 497 nt
Filed under: uncultured bacterium
Lineage: Bacteria
Description: partial 16S ribosomal RNA
Rfam family: Bacterial small subunit ribosomal RNA
Source: RNAcentral